This 490-nucleotide ribosomal RNA is filed under the name uncultured bacterium. RNAcentral's name for it is "bacterial SSU rRNA". It matches the Rfam family "Bacterial small subunit ribosomal RNA", at positions 9 to 526 of the family's 1533-position model. The record is from RNAcentral.
GAGUUUGAUCAUGGCUCAGGAUGAACGCUGGCGGCGUGCCUAACACAUGCAAGUCGAGCGAUUUACUUCGGUAAAGAGCGGCGGACGGGUGAGUAACGCGUGGGUAACCUGCCUCAUACACAUGGAUAACAUACCGAAAGGUAUGCUAAUGCAGGAUGAUAUAAGAGAUUCACAUGGAUUUUUUAUCAAAGCUCCGGCGGUAUGAGAUGGACCCGCGUCUGAUUAGCUAGUUGGUAAGGUAAUGGCUUACCAAGGCGACGAUCAGUAGCCGACCUGAGAGGGUGAUCGGCCACAUUGGAACUGAGACACGGUCCAAACUCCUACGGGAGGCAGCAGUGGGGAAUAUUGCACAAUGGGCGAAAGCCUGAUGCAGCAACGCCGCGUGAGUGAUGAAGGCCUUCGGGUCGUAAAACUCUGUCCUCAAGGAAGAUAAUGACGGUACUUGAGGAGGAAGCCCCGGCUAACUACGUGCCAGCAGCCGCGGUAAUAC